GCAUGUCGAGGGGUAACAUUGCAGCUUGCUGCAGAUGACGACCGGCGCACGGGUGCGUAACGCGUAUGCAACCUACCUUAUACAGGGAGAUAGCCCAGAGAAAUUUGGAUUAAUAUCCCAUAGUAUUAUUGAAUGGCAUCAUUUAAUAAUUAAAGUUCCGGCGGUAUAAGAUGGGCAUGCGUGAUAUUAGCUAGUUGGUGAGGUAACGGCUCACAAAGGCGACGAUGGGUAGCCGGCCUGAGAGGGUGAAC
RNAcentral lists this ribosomal RNA (251 nucleotides) under uncultured bacterium. RNAcentral describes it as "partial 16S ribosomal RNA". It matches the Rfam family "Bacterial small subunit ribosomal RNA", at positions 57 to 305 of the family's 1533-position model. The record is from RNAcentral.